This 425-nucleotide ribosomal RNA is filed under the name uncultured bacterium. Its description in RNAcentral is "partial 16S ribosomal RNA". It matches the Rfam family "Bacterial small subunit ribosomal RNA", at positions 354 to 796 of the family's 1533-position model. The record is from RNAcentral.
GUGGGGAAUAUUGGGCAAUGGGCGAAAGCCUGACCCAGCAACGCCGCGUGAAGGAAGAAGGUCUUCGGAUCGUAAACUUCUAUCCUUGGUGAAGAUAAUGACGGUAGCCGAGAAGGAAGCCCCGGCUAACUACGUGCCAGCAGCCGCGGUAAUACGUAGGGGGCAAGCGUUGUCCGGAAUGAUUGGGCGUAAAGGGCGCGUAGGCGGCCUGGUAAGUCGGGAGUGAAAGUCCUGCUUUUAAGGUGGGAAUUGCUUUGGAUACUGUCGGGCUUGAGUGCAGGAGAGGUAAGCGGAAUUCCCGGUGUAGCGGUGAAAUGCGUAGAGAUCGGGAGGAACACCAGUGGCGAAGGCGGCUUACUGGACUGUAACUGACGCUGAGGCGCGAAAGUGUGGGGAGCAAACAGGAUUAGAAACCCCUGUAGUCC